UCGAAAGAAAAUAAGCAAAUUUUGUGUUUACUAAAAACUUGUAUGAGCUCAUAGAUCACGACCUUACUUGAACAGGAUCUGUUCUAUAGGCUCGUACCUCUGUAUCCUUGAUUUCUAAGGAGGCAGGUCACCAAGUCUGGUGGAUGAACAAUGACUGCUUGACCAGAGCGUGAUUAACAUCUCUUCCUGGUCUGUGCACCAUCAAGGGCCGUAGAGGAUCGUUCUCAGCCUGGUUUCCUGGGCUGGGUUGGUCUUGCAGUUGUCUGACAGACCCUAAUCUUUUUUACCCUUCCAUCUCAUUUUUUGGUCUGGUCUGUCAUGGUUUCCUGGAUAAUCUACCUAAGAGCAACUUAUGCAACUAGCGAGUAUUAAUUUUAGGGGUGGACUCCUCUUUCUUUAGUCUUUAGUCUACCCGACAUAUGAAGCUCAACAAGAACAAAAUUCUACAACCUGCAGAACUACUGAAUAAUCUAACAUUAAGAGCGACUUAUGCAACUACUGAGUAAUAAUUUUAGGGGUCAAAACUCUGAAAUUUCUUCCUGUUACUUCAGUUUAUCAUUAUUUGUUUUAUAUGAUGACCAGAACAUAUCUUCCUAGUACUUCUGUUUAUACCAUAGCAGCAUGGACCUAACCUUUCAUGCCUAGAGAAGAUCCUCAUUCCCUUUCUGUUCAAUUGAUCUUGGUCCCUACUCCAAAAGGUAGAAGAUUAUUAGCUCGCUAAGAACUGCAGGGUUUGUACCCAUUAGAACCAAUAUUAUAAUUGUUUUUGUAUAAUAGGGUGCUUAAAUUCUUUAGCUUAGCUUUUAGAACAUCGGUUUUCUCUUUCAGGGACAUCCAAUUGUAACGAUUCAAGUUUAGCACACCCUGUGCAAGGAUGACAUGCAUGAUUCACUCAAGAUUAACAUGCCCUGCGCAUGGAUGACACUGCACAAAUCCAGAGAUGUUCCAAUUUGUUUUACAAUUAAAAUCCAAAAUGGUCUGGUUCCUUUGGCUAGAAAAAGGAAAUAUACAGAAAACUGUUACAUUAAGCACAUAUGUACAGGCACCACCACCAUAUAAACCACCGGAUGUUUCUGCCCACGACUUUGGGUAAAAAGAGGCCUUAGCUCACAGACACAAUGCUUCAGAACUAAAGGAUGAAUGAGAAUCAGAAGUGCCACAGUAUGCGGUGCAGUACAGUAAGUAUAACUGUAUAACAAACAACAAUUUCUUGCUUGUACUGAUCGGGCUAAUAAUGUGCUUGUUUAAAUAUAUUUUACAGAUUCUGAUAAAAUCUUAUCAUUAGUUGCCUGGAAGCACGAUUUGUUUUUGGUGUUUUAACUGUUUGAAGAGACUUUUUAGUAAUUAAUGCCAUGAGAGUGUAAAAAAAAUUUGGACCAUUUCUCGAUUUGUGCGUGUCAUCCUUGCGCAGGGGCCAUGCUAAUCUUCUCUGUAUCGUUCCAAUUUUAUCGGAUGUCCCCGAAGGGACAAGCAAUGAUCUGCAAGCAUGAAAAUAUAACCACUUCAUUUCCUUGUAGUUUGCCUAUGUGGGAUUCGAGUGUGAGACUUGAAUUGAAUCUUUAAUUAUGGGGGAGUUUGUCUAUGACUUAUUUCGAGAUAAAUUUUCAUAUUUACAUGUUAUUUUUUUAUAGUUAAAUAUUUAGAGGACGUUGAGCCCUAUAUAACCUCGGUGAAGGAUCCAUUAAUAAAUAGGGCACUACAAGCAUAUUUGAUGAUUGCCAAGAACUUUAAUUUGAAUAUAGAAGCCAAAUUUGAUGACCAGAUUGUGAUUAAAUGUUUAUUUUUGGUCUGUAUGUAGUGCCUUUGAGAAUCGUUCUCAGCUUGGAUUCCUGGCUGAGGUUGGUUUUGCAUCUGCACGCCCAAAUAUUUUUAGCAUGCAGCAGUUGCCUACUAAGCUUACCUAUCCAAGGGUCACAGGUAAAUAGGUAUCAAUAAUAUUAGUAUGUGUGAAUAACUUUUCUAGGCUUCACAACCUCAUUUUAAGGGGAUCAGUAAUAUUGAUGUAUAGUCCCUUGUGGGAACUCUUGAUGGGGCACGGGAGUACCAAGAACCAAGGAAAGUUGAGAGGGAUUUGUGAAGUAGUAAUUAACUAGAUUCUUAGUCUUGUAUCUGUACCUCAGACUAGCUGUGUCAUCUUUGAGUGAAAAAAUAACACGAUAAAGUGCUAUGAUCUUUUUUUUGCUAACUGCUGCCGCUAGCUUUAGUCAUUAAAACAAAAUAAUGUAUCAAUUAUAUAAACUGUGGUUCUCUGGGUUAUGCUUUAAACUUUUGUUGCCUAAAUAUAUGCCUAGUGUUUCUUAAUUUUUCUUCUUUCCUAACAAAACACUGCAGUUUCUUACUGAUUUUGACUGUCAAAAAAAUUUGGACCGAAAAAAUAUGGUUAGGUUUGUAAAAAAAAUUUGGACCAUUUCUCGAUUUGUGCGUGUCAUCCUUGCGCAGGGGCCAUGCUAAUCUUCUCUGUAUCGUUCCAAUUUUAUCGGAUGUCCCCGAAGGGACAAAAGGAUGUCAGGCAGCCAUGAAAUAUAAGCAUGAUGUUUUUUAGAUAUGUAUCUAUGUGGGAUAUUUAGGUGUAAGACUUGAAUGUUCUAUGUAACCUUUCCAGGCUCCAGCGGACUUUUAGUUGCCAGCUUUUGAAAUCUUGUUGAAACUGCUGAUAAUAGAUCCCAAGUUUUUUCACAGUACACAUACAUGCUUAGUAAACAAAGGAAAAAGUUCUCUGAACAUAGGGUAAAACUAUGUCACCUCUAACCUUUUUACUCGGUAAACAGAAGUCUGGAAUGAAGUCUUAAAUUAUUAGGUGCUUCUCCUCAUUGUAUAUUGAUAUUCAUACGUAAUUUAAUUGUGUUCCGCGGAUAUUGGCUGACAAAAUGAACAAUCUUGAGCAAUAUUGCAUUGUAAUCUCAAAAAUCAUUUAUUUGGCAGAGGGAUGUGCACCAGAAGCGGCAUCCCUACCAUCCAAAGUUGUUCCAAAGUGAUGCAAUUUAAGAAUGUCAAGAAGUUACCAUCCAAAACAUUAUGCACAUCUCUUUCUUUCUCUUCUGUUAAAUUUCUUUCAUGAGUGCAUUUUCAAAUAAUUGUAAUUGAUUUUCCUAGGAAUUUUAAAUAGUUAUUAUAUUAAGUUUUUAAUUUCUCUGCCCUUUUGUAUUGCAAAGUUGUCAUAUUUGUUAAUGUAGUUUUUGCAUUUUAGCAGAAUUGCGGCAAGAUCUCCACAGGCUCAGGUCUUCUGCAACUGUGUUCUUGAAGGUUAAUUCUUUUUUCUUAAACCAUGAUAAUUGUAAUUUUUGUUUGUAAUUUUAGUGCCUCUAACUUGCUGGUCGGUUGGUUUGAAUUAAUUCGAAAGCCAAAGAACUUCAUUGUACUUCUUUCUUCAACUAAAAAAUAAUAAUUCUAUAUUGUUUUUUAAACACAGGGAUGCUUUUCUCGAGAACCUUGGUUGAAUAUAAUAUAGUAGCAUACUGCACAAGACUACAAGUUGGAUGUCCAAUAUUCCAACCUAGCAUAGUUGGUCCGUUAUUACCAAGAUUUACUUGAAACAAACCAAUUACUGAACUUAUGUGGGCGGUUUUAUUGAACAUACCAAGUUUUACUUAGUUAUUAUCACAGAAAUAUAAAUUUAUAAAGACAGGCAUUGAUCUCUCCAGAAAGAAGACAAUGGGCUUCUCAAGCUGGCUUUAUACCAACAGCACAAAACAGGUACUGAAGAUUGUUCAUCCUGGUGGCCAUGCAGAGCUUCACGAUAGGCCGGUCCUGGCUGCUGAGAUAAUUAACCGGAAUCCAAGAUGCUGUGUUGCACAUCCCAAUAUUUUCCAACAACCUUGGGCCAUUGUUGCACCAGACACUACGUUGAUGCCUGGUCAGAAAUUCUACGUGGUGCCAGUAAGUACCAUAAGACGGCUUCAAAAAUUGUCUUUGAAGUAUAAUACUUCUCAUAAUCAAGAUGUUAAUCAAAAUAAUAAUGGUUUAACUGGAGAAGUUGAUAGCUUCCGCACUACUUGUUGGAAGUUCAAGCCCUCGAAUACUUCAAACGGGGUAACAUCAGAUGAUAGUUACUGUGCAUGUUUGAGAAGUGGGAAAAAGUUAAAAGGAAACAACAAUGAAGAAUCCAGCAAGGAGAAACUGGCAAGCAACUUAACUUUUUCAGAGUCAGAGACGAGGAGCAACGAUAAUAGUACGAGGGGAGGAGGACAACAUCCCAAGAGACUUAUUGCUCUUGAUAACUGGCAUCCGGGACUAGAGAGCAUUGGUGAAGAAAUAGCUCCUGCUUAAUUCACCGGCUUCUGAAUAUAAAUAUUUAUGUUUGAACACAUGGCAUCUUACUUGGAAUAACAGGGAGAAAGGUCUAUUAUUUGAUUUUGUUUAUUGAUUCAUAUAUUGUUAUCAGAUUGUAAGUUUAGGUCAGUAGUACCUUCACCUAUCACUAUUCUUAGGAUUGGCAUGUCCAAGACUUGUUUAAUAUGAUUUAGAGUUUUUUCUUUUGCUUUGGGGAGCACAUGAUUUGAUGCCUCGAAGAGGAUUUAAGUGGUCUACAAGUAUCUAUAUAUGAGCCGAGCUGUUUAUUCUUUUAACUUGGAAAAUUAAGUGUCUUGGCUCAAAUAAAGCUCAUUCUUAGAGUCCUUUUAUAAAGUUAAGAGCUUUCCUCUCUUUUAGCUUUAGGAGCUCCGCAUGACUUAAAACUUAUUUUUUAUGAUAAAAAAUUCGUUCUCUUUUACUCAUCCAUCACUUUUUCCUCUCUCUAAAAUGUGUACCAUCUUUCUAAGCGGCAUAUAUUUUUAUAUUAUACUUGAGAGCAAUUAGAAGACUUUUGGAGAUGUCUUACGGCUUUUUUUGUUAUAUCUCACUAUCUCAGCUCAUAUGUAAUUAUUUGCAAUUCACCGAAUAGAGAGCACUUCAUCGAUGCUCCUAGUUGAGAGCCUCUUGGUACUAUAAUCACCAGCAGUUUUGUUAUAACGUUGUAUUCCCUUUUUUUCAUCUCCCCAGUAUCAGUUAACUUCUCCUUCCUUUCCUUGGACGUUUGUUUGAUUAAACCGGCAGUAUCUUUCGAUCAUUGUCAUGAUCUUUUCGAUCUUAUUUUUCGCUGUUGCAUACUAGCCACUAUAUAUUUGAUCUUCAGUUAAAAUGGUCUGAAACCAUGCUCUUAAAUCUUAAUUUAGAUCCAUAGAUUACACGAUAAUGACAUAAUGUUCCUAUAGAAUUUGAAUUUCAUCGGAAUUAAAAAUUUAGAUGACCUGCAGAACAACCAAAUUUGGAAAACAAAUUAUUGUAAUUACAAGUGAACAAUGAAUUUUGUGAGGUACAGACGUACGGUCAUAAUCAAUGAAUAAAAUCAAUGCUAGCUGACAAUGUAUAUGAAAAGGAACUGAACCUUAAGGUGCAAACCAAAAAUACUUGAUCAAAUUUGGUGGGGUGAGCCAGGCCAACGCAGUAGUGCAACGCUUAGGCGACUCGCGAAGCCCCCAAUAGCAAGCUAUUGUGACGGGACCUCCCCCUCAAAAAAUAAAUUUAAUAUCGUGUGAGCCAAUGGCCCACAUAUCAGAUAUUAAACUGAUAAGAACAGAUACUACACUUGAUCUUAGCCAAAAGGCCGAGAAAGGUAUGCUUUUCAUCAAGGGCCAGCGUGGUUUAUAUAUACAACUGACAUCAGGAAUUAGUUUAUGGAUAUGAUGUGGGACAAAAACAGGUUACUUAGAUAACAAAACACACACCUUCCCUUUCGCUCUGCUGCAGCAGUGCACUUGAACGUUCAAGUGCAUCAUGAAACCAGCAUAAUAACAUGUUGUACAUCCACUGCCUAGCUAACAUCUAUCAGCUCAGAAAUUAACUUUUUAUCAACUGCACCUUCUGACCACAUAUAUAUUUCAACUCUUCAAGGCCAUAUAUGAUAAGUGUUCAAAGUAUUGGUAACUUCAAUACUCAUUUCUGUGUCUUGAUAUUUUAAGAUUUAUUUGUACAUAUCGUCUUAGUUGAUACAAGUGGACAAGGAGUCAUGUGGGGGUCAAUAUCCGGAUUAGAUCAACUCCUCUCUAUAUUUAUCACAGAAUAGGCGGCUUUGAAAUAAUCUUGUAUGUGCCUCUACAGACUGAAUGAACAGAUCACAUAUGCACAAGGUACUAAAGUAUUUAUUGUGUCUCACCAGAACAUAAGUAUGAAAAUCUUUAUUUAAUUUCAACUUCUUUUAAUAAGUUUGAAUUUAUGCAAUUGACUUGAUAUGCUUAAGAUUCAGCAUCUCCUUCUUCCAUAAAUAUCUCUGUAAAAAUAAAUCCUCAUAGAGAUCAGAGCCACUGAAAGUGGAAAUAUAUUAGGAAUGAACUCAAAUUCUUGUUAGUGAAGGUAACUCAUAUACAAUACAACCAAGAGAAUUGCUGAUGAGUAUGCAACUCCUGGUAUGAUAGCGUAAAAGCACUUGUUUCCCAGUUACAUGUUCCACUAUCUACCCCCAAAAAAAGAAACUAAAGCCUCUGUCAAUUACACUACCACAAUGCAGUAAUGUACUAAUGCAGUGUGAGAUCAUUCUUAAAUGAAGAACCAAAAAAAAAGUUAAGGGUCUGUCAGACAACUGCAUGACCACCCCAGCCGCACUGACCGGGAAGAGCUGUUAAUCACGCUCUGGUCAAGCAGUCUUUUGUCAUCCACCAGACUUGGUGACCUGCUUCCUUAGAAAUCAAGGAUGCAGAGGUACGAUCCUAUAGAACAGAUCCUGUUCAAGUAAGGUCGUGACAAGUAGUGUAUUACAACACCUUUAAAAGCAAACAAUGUUUGUCAGUUUAUCUCGAUGUGGUAUAGUUUUCUACUUGAUUUCCAGCCACAUAUAGAAUUCCCACAUCCUCGUUACAACACGAAAUGUAGCUUUUCCAUCUAAUUAAGAAUUUAUCAGAAUAAACAUGAUGUAGGAGAAACUUGAACUAGAAUUGUAGGGUUUGAUCCAAAAGGACAAACCCUCCAAAAAUAGGCGUAUGCCACUGUCAGUGACGAGCACACGGUAUUCUUUAGUAAAAGGCGAAAGAAUAGUUCGCUUUGUGCUCAUCACAUGGCUGCGUGCUCUAAUCACUGCGCAGACAGUUGUUUUUUAUAGACAUUUCGUAGUCAUGCUCUCCUUGUGUUCACAAUGUGGGAUAAGAAACCUGGCUACCUAUCAUCUAUGUGAAUGUAUCAACAGUUUGUGUUAAACAAUGGCAAGCAGUCCUAUUCUCCUCACUAUAAUAAAUUCUUUAAAUUUGUUCCGGCUUAUAUUAUGAGUUGUUUUCUGGUAGAGUAGAAUUUAUUAUGAGCCGGUUUCAGAUAGAGUAGAAUUUCUUUUUACAUUCUUAGCCAUUCUUUUCAUAGCCAAAUUUAUGGGUAGAAACAUCUGGUGGUGGUGCCUGGGCACAUGUGCUUAGUCUAAGUUCUUAUUUUCCUUUUUCCAAACAAAAGAACUAGACCGCUUUGGAUUAAGUGUGAAAAAAUAUUAAAGGAACAAAAAUUCGAUCAUUUCCUCUGUGUAGCCGUAGAUGGUGCACGUACCAGGGAUUGCUUCAAGCAGUCAUUUUUCAUCCACAAAACAAAGUGUCCUGCCUCCUCUGAGAUCAAGAACGCAGAAAUAGUUAACGCUCUAUAAUUCUCUUUGUUUUCCCAUUAGGACGAAAUCCUACUGUAUACUUCUUUUUGUACCCUGUAUGAUCUCCAUCUGUAUAGGUUGAUUUUUCCUAUUUCCAGGGCAGAGACCAAGUUUUGAGAUGCUAAAUAUCAUUAUGAGAAAAUUAUAGUACUUCAAAUUAGCCAAUGAUAUAUGGUACCUUAGUAUAUGUAUACUUGAAAAUCCAAAAGAACAUAUAUUGUAUGGCUGACAUGUUUUUAAGUCAUCCGAUCCGUUGGGAUCCUAGAUAACAAGGAAAUAACAGUAAAGCAGUAAUAUCAUUUGUCAAGUACCAAGAAAUCACUAAGGUCUAUGCUGAAUCACAGGUCAGGGAGGACAUACAUUUACCAAUUCUUCGACAUUCAAGGCUUGAUACCCGCAAAAAAAAAAUACCAAUAAUUGCCUAUAAAAUUUUUCAAGUGAAUGCAUGCAGAAACCAGUUUGAAGCAUACAUGACACAUUGCCACCGUGCACUAGAGCUAUGCUUUUUUUAUUUCAAACUGCACCGGUGAAGAUGAAGAUUAGAACUAUAUACCAGUUUUCACCAUUUUUCCAAGUUACGGUUCAUUUUAGAAAACUGGUAUUCCAGGUACAGAUUUGUUCUCUCAAAAUAUCUGUAGUUCAGUUAAAUUUGUUUAGGCAUCCUGCUGCAGUUAUUGAUUUGUAAUCAGCUGUAGUCUUGUAGACCGGUUAAACCUUAAACUAGACCUGUUCGGGUCGGUCCAAAAGGACAAAAGUCCAAAAAGACCGACCCUCCAAAAAUUAGCCACAAGUGACGAGAAAAAGUUUUCUUUAAGCAAAAAGAAAGAAGUUUGUAGGGCUUUACCCUGGGUUAGAGGGAGCCCUUCCAGAAAUUCUCGAUGGCACAAGGCAGAACCAAGGCCAAGGAGGGGGUUUGGAAAUAGUUUUCAACCAGCAAUUGACGCGCCUCGGUUAGUACCUCACUAGCUGCGUCAUUGCCCCAAGCGCAAAGAUACAUUCUUCAAAGACCUUGUUCCUCUUUUAAGCUGAUGUUUUUCACACGUUUCGUGCAACAACGCGAUGUGGUACAUAUGACUGUCUCAUUUAAAUUCAGAAGACUUCAGGUAUUUUCUUGAGUGAUAGAUGCGAAAUGGAUAUUGCUCUCAAGAGUCCAACAGGAAAGAAUACUGUGAUAAUAUUUUGAUUGUUUUCGUCAUGUCAAAGUGGUUUAAAAUAAACUUCAAAAAAAUGCAAAAUCCUUUUACAAUUACAACCCUAUAAAACGUGAAUUUUUCUUACGCUUACAUCAAUAAACAAUAUAAAAAAUUAAAUACACUUGUCAAGACAAAAACUCUAUUAUUAUCCUUUCAAAUGUAAUUCAUAUAAAUAAAAAGUAAAAUUACUAUCAUUAACAUAUAUUAAUAUUAAUAUGAAACAAUAUUUAAGAUGAAUAUAUACUCCCUCCGUCCCAGCCAUUUGUAUACAAAUGGUUGGAACACUGAGACAAAGAAAAAAAAUGUAAAAAAUGAGUAAAGUUAGAUGAAAAGGAGGUAUAGUGUUGGGAUCCACUUAUAUUUAAUACUCCCUCCAUUUUAAUUUACAUGUCCACUUCUAAUAAAAAAUUUUGUUUCAAAUUACAUGUCCACUUCAACUUUCAAUGCAAAAUCAUAUUUCCAAAGUUAAUUCUACUCCACAUAUCUCUUAUUUAUAUUUCCUACAUCAAUCUCACUCCACAUAUUUUGAUCAUUUAAUGCAAUUAAUUUGUGA
This 9337-nucleotide long non-coding RNA is filed under the name Daucus carota (carrot). Its description in RNAcentral is "long non-coding RNA (DCAR_LNC001463)". The stretch from base 58 to 273 matches the Rfam family "Plant small nucleolar RNA U3". The record is from RNAcentral. Lineage: Eukaryota; Viridiplantae; Streptophyta; Magnoliopsida; Apiales; Apiaceae.